RNAcentral lists this ribosomal RNA (406 nucleotides) under uncultured bacterium. Its description in RNAcentral is "partial 16S ribosomal RNA". It matches the Rfam family "Bacterial small subunit ribosomal RNA", at positions 360 to 773 of the family's 1533-position model. The record is from RNAcentral.
AAUAUUGCGCAAUGGAGGGAACUCUGACGCAGCGACGCCGCGUGAUCGAUGAAGGUUUUCGGAUCGUAAAUCUCUGUCCUUGGGGAAGAAGGUCUUCGGACUUGACGGUACCUAAGGAGGCAGCUCCGGCUAACUACGUGCCAGCAGCCGCGGUAAAACGUAGGGGGCAAGCGUUUUUCGGAAUUAUUGGGGGUAAAGGGUGUGUAGGCGGACUUUUAAGUCAGGUGUGAAAGCCCACGGCUUAACCGUGGGAUUGCAUUUGAAACUGAAAGGCUUGAGUAUCGGAGAGGGUAGUGGAAUUCCCAGUGUAGCGGUGGAAUGCGUAGAUAUUGGGAGGAACACCAGUGGCGAAGGCGACUACCUGGACGAAAACUGACGCUGAGGCACGAAAGCUAGGGGAGCAAAC